Molecule: non-coding RNA, 3651 nt
Organism: Monodelphis domestica (gray short-tailed opossum)
Lineage: Eukaryota; Metazoa; Chordata; Mammalia; Didelphimorphia; Didelphidae
Source: RefSeq, a predicted model, not a curated record
CACAAAAAAGCACACACACACACACACACACACACACUAAAUGAAACUGAAAUGUUGAGGAUUUGCAGACUUCCAAAGUAUAAACCCACCCAGAAGAAAGUUUAACCAUCAGCUCUCACCAACCCAAUGACACCAGCAUGGGCUGGAUUGAGUCCCUUCUCCUCCUGGAGAUACCCCGUGACUCUCAACUCACAAUAUCUGUCUUUGGUAAAUUUCCAUGAAUCAGAAUCUCUAGUCUCUAAUGAGAACACAGAGCCGAUCCCUGCAUUCUGAAAGGUUCUUUCCCAUCUUCAUUCUUCCCAAAAGGAGAGAGCCUUAUCUCCCUCACCAGCCUGGGAGUUCCCUGAGGGCAGGAUCAGGGACUAAGUGUUCUCUCUCUUUGCAGCCCUCAAGAGAAGAGGAGGAGGCCCAGCAAAACAAAUUAAAUCAGUGAUGGAGGACUGAGUGAUCAGCCAUACAGUGGGAAGAGAAAUGUGCAAGUGUUUGGAGGAGUUGGCAAGCCUGUGGCCCAGAGUGCACCAGUGGGGGAAAAGGAAGAUGGAGGAACAGAGGAUCCAGCACUUCAACUGCUAGUGCUGCCACUAAUUACUCCAAUCUUGGAAUUAUUACAAAUGCUGGAGGAAGAAAUGACUGACCACUCCGAUAUCUUUGCCGAGAAAACCCCAAAUGGGGUCAGGAAGAGUCAGACAUGACUGAAAUGACUCAACAGCAACAUUAUUACAGCACCCCCCAAACAGGUAAAAGCUUGGAUGAAUCAGGACCAUCCUAGACUCUCUGGAACAAAAGAGGAAUCUACACUGUCCUGGUUGAGAGGAAGCUUAGGGAGUAGAAAUAAGAGAAAGCCCCUUUGAGGCAGCCUUAGACAAUUUUCUUUUUUCAUUGUUUCUCCUAGACAGGUAGAGAGAACCCCAUCAUUCUUUCCCUGCCCCCAUCCUCCCUAGAGUGGGGAAAGUAACUAUAGAAAAAAAUUAUGUUCCUGGGAAUGUGAGAAGAGAAGAAUGCCUCAGUUUCACAAGAAUGGGGGACCAGGAAGAAGGAGUAUAUUGCACUUCAGUCAAAUAAUUCCUAGCCCUAACCACUGUUAAAUGUGUCUGGGGAAUGGGGAAGCUAGGUAGCAAUAAGAUAGUUCAGUGGAGAAGGAACAAGAUCUAGAGAUGGGAGGUCCUGGAUUCAAAUCUGACCUCAAAUCCAUCCUAGCUGUGUGACCCUGGGCAAGAAAAAUACUCUAACUAAUCAUUGCAAGAACACAACAUUGUGUUUGUGGAAUGAAUGAAUGAGCAAAGUCACUUAAUCCUUCUCUCUUCCCUUUCAUUUCUAUGACCGACCAAAGAAAAGAAUGUGUAUGAAUGUGUGUGUGUGUGUGUGUGUGUUGGUGGGGUGUUCAGGAAAACCACAGGGUUUCUGAACUGGAUAAUAUUUAAUUUGUUAAAAGCCCCUAAAAAUGAUAUGACAUGGAUAUAUCCCUACAAUCAAGAAUUGAUGUCAGUUAGACUUUCUCUUUUACAAAAAAAUAAAUUUCUAUUGAUAUCUUUUAUCUCUGCAUCCCCCAAGUUUUCCCCAGCAUCCCUCCUCUCUAUCUUCCCAGAGAGCGAUCUCAUAGAACAAUUUUUAUUAACAAAGAAGAGGAUAAAACAACAAAAACCAUUGAAUAUAUUAAAAAUCUGCCAAUAUAUGUAAUAUCCCACAUUGAUGGAGUCCCUAUCCUUUUUAUAGGAGUUGGGAAAGGUUUCAUCUCACAUCUCCUUUGGGGAUAGGACUGUUCUUUAUAAGUUGGUGGUGACAGAUUGUUUUGAUUGCUUUUCUUUCCAAUUUUAUUUGUUGCUUUUUUUUGGCUCUGUUUAUUUCACUUUGCAUCAAUUCAUUUAAAUCUUUCAGUGCUUCUCUGUAUUCAUCGCAUUUGUCAUUUCUUACAGUAAAGUCCUAUUCUAUUACAUUCAUGUGCACAACUUUUUUAAGCCAUUCUCCAACAGAUGGUCAUUUUUAUUUCACAAAAAGAACUUUCAAACCUUAAAUUGAAUAGAAACUUAGAACAGAGAUGUAAUUCUCCAUGAGUAAGAGAAAGUAGGUGCUAAGAAAUACUUAAUGCCUGUGGACUUCGCUUGGAUAUCUGGUUGUUUUCUAUUCUAAAAGAUCUUAAUACCUGAAGACUUAGACUCUGCUUUGGGAAAGGACAAGUACAGUCAAGACCUCUCAGAAUUAACAGACUCCCCUAUUUAUGAAAAGACAAUAACUUAGAGUUUUCUCUUUGAGCUUAUAAAAGGCAUACCUCUCCUAAAAAGCUGAAGCUUAAGCCUCUAGGCUGCAACCUAAAAGGGAUCUGGAAGAGACCACUCCUCUAAUGGACAGAAGACAAUACCUCAGAAGGACUUCAAUUGAAGCCAAGAAGCUGAUGGCUGGGAGAAGUUCUGGAAUUAGACUCAGAUAUGCAAUAGUUAGUAGAGAAUAUGGUAUAAGUGACUGUAAGACCUAGAUCCCUGUUGGUGAACAUAUGGCACUCAUACUGGAGAGGGCUGCUUCCUUCACCCUUCCUACCAUACCUGAGGACAUUUCUCACAUCAUGUGCACCUCUGCCCAGCAGCCCAAAGGGAGUGCUUCCUCCUUCCCCUAUCUGGGUUAAGAUUGGGGGCUCACACAUGCCUUGAGGGUACAGUUUGGGCACUCGGUGUCUAAAAGGUUUGCCAUCACAACCUAGAGGCAGAAACCAUAAUAAGUUUAUCUUAGACAACAUUUGACUUGAAACCAUGGAGGAGCAUACCCAAUGGGAGCAGUGCAGUGAUACUACCAGAAGACAUAAAUAGCCCUGCAGUUAUGGAAACAUGACUUGCCCCUCCAAGAAUGUGUGUGUUCAUCCAUGUGUGCACCCUCAUCACAAAUGUUCCUCAUGCCUCAUCAUGUGUGCAUCAUCCAUGUAUGUUCUCUACAUGUGUACCCUGCUGUGUACGUUCCCUAAGUGUUUUGACUUUUUAUGUGAAAGUUAUGUAUAUGUAUGGGAUGGUAUGCCUCAGGUUUAUGGGGAAGAUAUCUAUUGCAAUUUCACUACCUUGACUUUGUUUUGAAUUAGUUGCAUUCUCUGACUGACUAGUAAACGUAAUCACAUUGCUGGGGCCCCAAGAACCAUGGUUUUGAAUGGGAAUAUAGAAGAACAUAGAAGAAGAAUAUGAUCCUACGGAAAUUUAUCUGGGUGUACCACAUGCAAAAGGGUAGUUUCCCAGGAGCUAUAUAAGUAUUGUAGCUAAGUAGAAUUUUUAUUGAAACUCACUGUGAUAUAAAUCAAUAAACAAGCAUUACAUUGCAAUUGUAUGCAUUGCUGCAAUGUUUAAACAAUAUUCUAACUAAUCAUUGCAAGAACACAAAAUGUGUUUGUGGAAUGAAUGAAUGAGCAAAUCAAUAAAUACCAUCCAGACCUAACUUUUCUCCUGAUCUCCAGUCUUGCAACACCAAUUGCCUAUUGUACAUAUCUGAUUGGCUCUUCCAAAGGGAUCUAAAAUUCAACAGAACUAAAACAUAAUUGCCCUCAAUGUGCUUCUGAUCUAAAAGGAAAGACAAUAACAAAGAAGAUGGCAGAAAACAUGGCGAAAAUACCAGAGGGUACUCAGUGUGGCAGUUGUACUGGCGGCAGUGGUGGUGGAAUGCAUCUUAUUCUAUGGAGUU